UCCCUUUUUGGAUGUAAAGUAAUUAAGGGAAUUUUUUUUCCCAUUACACAGAAAAUAUUGAAAGUAUUUUCACUAAAAUAAAAAAAAAAUUUUAUUUAAAUUUUUUUUUAGAAUUUUUCUUGUUUUUUGGUGAACGAAUUUGUUUUUUUUUAAUUGUAAAGAUUUAAAGUAUUAGUUUUUUUAUAAUUUAGUUAAUAUUAUAUGAUUGAUAUUAUGUAUCAUAUAAUUUUAAUCUAACAAAGGUUAAUUAAGAUAAUUCGAAUUAUUUUGUUCCUUAUUAAUCAAAUAUUCAAUAAUUUUAAAGAAAAUAUUCAAUGAACUAGCUAAUAAAGCAUUACCUAAUUCUAAAGAAGAGAAAUAGCGACAAGAAAUAACGAUGAAAGGCUAAAUUUGAGUUUUGCAAUUGAAAUAAUAUAAAAUUAAAAAAUUCCUAAAGUAACAAUUGAAAGAAAAGCCUUUUCCAGUAGAAGCGUUUAUUCUAGUUCCAGUAGCAUAUAUUAAAAUUGUUGCAGUUAAAACACUCGUAGUUGAAUUUCGAAGAAUCAAUUUUUAAGGUAAUACUUUAUCGGAUAUGUGUUAAGUAGUGUUUCGAUGCAUAUUUUCCACAUUCCUGAUAAUACGUGUUCUUUAAAAUACGAUAGGUUCUUUUUAAAAAUUCUUCGUUGCUCUAUGUGAUGGGAAUUUUUGUUACUUUAAGUAAAUUAGAGUGCUCAAAGAAAACAGCUUAUAAAACAGCUAAAACUGUGUUUGAAUACUACAACAUGGAAUAACAAAAUUGAACAAGCUAAAAUUUUUGUACUUUUUUCUUAUUUUGGCUUAGUUACGAUUAAUAGAAGUAAUUUGGGGGCAUUCGUAUUCAGAUGCCAGAGGUGAAAUUCUUAGAUUUUCUGGAGACGAGCAACUGAGAAAAUAUUUGUCUAAAAUACUUCCAUUAAUCAAGAACGAAAGUUAAGGGAGUGAAGACGAUCAGAUACCGUCGUAAUCUUAACCAUAAACUAUGCCGACUAGGUGUUGGAUGAAAGUGUAAAAAAUAAAAGAUGAUCUAAUGUAACAGUCAGAUAAUCUUUUAGCUUGCUUCCUUCGGUACCUUAUAAGAAAUCAAAGUCUUUGGAUUCUGGGGAGAGUAUCCGCGCAAGCGAGAAAGUUAAAAAGAAUUGACGGAAGGAAGCCAUCAGGAGUGGAGCUUUCUGAUUAAUUUGUCUCAACACGGGAAAACUCACUAGUUUAAGACAAGAGUAUUAUUAAUAGAUUAAUAACUCUUUCUUGAUUUCUUGGUGGUUUAUGACAAUUUUUAGUCUCUGAUUAUGAUUUUUUUGGUUAAUUCCUGCAACAAAUGAGGUCUUAAUCAGCUAAGCGGUAAACACAACAUAUUCGUGGGAAAAUUGGAAUAUUGAUUUAUUAAUUGCUUGUUUAAUGACUUUACUAGAGUAUUGAACAAACAAAUUAAUAAAGAGUAUAUAUAACUAAACAUAUACUUUUAUAUAUAUAUUGGCAUUUUAUAAUGUAUAAUAUUUAUAUUAUACAUUAUUCUGUAUCGCUUAACAGAUAUAUGUUUACUUUUAUAAAUGUGUUUUUAUUUACAAAGAAUUAAUUAGUAUAUCCUUUUAAUUAAAAACAAACACACACUUUAUAACAAAUAAAAAAAGUUAAAACUCUGAUUUAUUCAAUG
Plasmodium relictum is the source of this 1669-nucleotide ribosomal RNA. The record is from RefSeq and is a predicted model, not a curated record. NCBI's taxonomy places the organism in Eukaryota, Apicomplexa, Aconoidasida, Haemosporida, Plasmodiidae.